AACUAGCUACUGAAAUCAUAGAGUUUCUUUAAACUCGUGAUGUCGUAAGGAAAAUAAUGAUAAUACCUUACUAAUAGUGUCGCCCAAAUCUGGUGCCAGAAGACUCGGUAAGACCAGAGACGCAAACGUUAAUCAUCUUAAACAGGCGUAAAGGGUUUGUAGGCAGCUUUUAAUACAAAAGCUAGAAUCAAAUAUAGGUUAUAGUGUAUAACGCUUAGAGGAGGGCUGAUAUCCGUAGAUCCUAAGUAGAAUACUAAGGGCGAAGGCCACUUUCCAUAAAUGAUUGACGCUGAGAAACGAAGGUUAGGGUAGGAAAUAGGAUUAGAUACCCCGGUACUCCUUUCAGUAAACGAUGAAUGGUAGUCUUUAGUUUAAUAAAACUAGAGUCGAAGUUAACGCGAUAACCAUUCCGCCUUGUGAGUACUACUGCAAGUAGAAAAAAAAAAUUAGUCGGUGCUCGAAGCAUUCGGA
Molecule: ribosomal RNA, 471 nt
Filed under: Dentocorticium sulphurellum
Lineage: Eukaryota; Fungi; Basidiomycota; Agaricomycetes; Polyporales; Polyporaceae
Description: partial 12S ribosomal RNA
Rfam family: Bacterial small subunit ribosomal RNA
Source: RNAcentral